CCGCGUUGUAAUCUCGAGAAGCCACAUCCGCGCCGGCCCUUGUAUAAGUCUGUUGGAAUUCAGUGUCAGAGAGGGUGAGAACCCCGUCUGUUAUAAGGACUACCGGUGCUUUGCGUUGGGCUUUCGAAGAGUCGCGUUGUUUGGGAAUGCAGCGCUAAUGGGUGGUAAAUUCCAUCUAAGGCUAAAUAUCGGGGGGAGACCGAUAGCGAACAAGUACCGUGAGGGAAAGAUGAAAAGCACUUUGGAAAGAGAGUUAAAUAGUACGUGAAAUUGUUGAAAGGGAAACGCUUGAAGUCAGUCACGCGGCGGAUAUCCAGCCUUCGGGCGUACCUAUCUGUCCGCGGGCCAGCAUCAGUUUUGGGGGUCGGAUAA
This 372-nucleotide ribosomal RNA is filed under the name Atractiellomycetes sp. 2027A RO-2014. RNAcentral's name for it is "LSU rRNA". It matches the Rfam family "Eukaryotic large subunit ribosomal RNA", at positions 138 to 522 of the family's 3401-position model. The record is from RNAcentral. Lineage: Eukaryota; Fungi; Basidiomycota; Atractiellomycetes.